AUGGCGGAGGAGGAGGAGGAGGAGGGAGCUGAAUUUUCCAUGAGCAGCUGUCAAAACGUAAUCUCCUGUGCGCUGGCAGCUCAGGCAGGAUCGAUUAACGGGGAUUUCGGGGGACUGGAAACCACCGUGGCAGGGUGCGGGCACCGGCCCCUCGGGGCGCCCCUCGCCCACGUCUGGGGCCGGCUGUCCCCCGGCUCCUGCUGCCGUGGGGCUGAUGCGUCCUUGGGGACCCCCGAGAGCAUCGCCUCUGCCCCCCGACAGCUGCUCUCGCAACGCCGAGAAUUUGUGCCGACAGCUGGGGUGCAGCCUCUCCGCGCUGGCUCCUCGCUCCGGCCCAGACAGGCCAAUUUGUGCAGUUGCAUUUUCAUCAUUUUUUUUUUAAAUUAUUAUUAUUCCUCCCCCCACCUCCAUCUCGUGAAAGGCCGAGCCUGGAAAGUCUGCGCUUGGCCGAGCCCCAGCCCCGCUCGGCAUCACGCCGCUCACGUGUAUCAGGGUCACUUCUUGGGGAUCGCACCCCGCAUUUGGGCAUCCUCCCUGUGUCCUUGCCUUGGGGACGUGGUGGCGGGGGUCCCUGCUCCUUCCCCAGCUCCCUUUGCCCAGCUCGAAUGUCUCGUAGGGCCCUGCCGGGUGCAGCUGGAGCCAGCAGAUCUGGGGCAGCCGUUUAAAAUAGCGCCUUGGCACAGAAAAAAAGGGGGGGGUCCGGGGCUUCGGCACCGGCAGUGCUGGAGGAAACGAGGUCUUGCAGAGACAGACGUGGGCCCUUCCCAGCAGCUCGCUCCGGGUCAGCAAGGAGCUGCCGGUCACAAAAGCCCGGGGACGUGGCUGCUGGAAGCGGGUCCCCGGGGCUGGGACGGUGCCCGCAGUGCUGGUGCAGCAGCUGCGGGGACGGGGAGCGUGUCCCCGAGGGCAGGCAGGCUGGGAGGCUAUCUGAGCCCUCUCUAUAAAUACACCGGCAGGGUAAACACUUGGGAGGGGAAAAAAGGGCUAUUUAAGCGAGUGGGCACUGUUGCCACGAGGUAUAAAUCGGUCAGGAGUAAAUUUAGGCUGGCGACGGGACGGCACAUUGACCCCAUGCCUCCUGGCUCUGUCCUUUCGGCUGGGGCAAGGCACGAUGUGGGGCUGGAGGGGCAAGCGGGGUCCCCAUGUGUCCCUUCUGUUCCCAGCCACCCCCAGCACUCAACCUCGCUGAGCUUUCCUGGGAAAUAA
Molecule: long non-coding RNA, 1206 nt
Filed under: Anser cygnoides (Swan goose)
Lineage: Eukaryota; Metazoa; Chordata; Aves; Anseriformes; Anatidae
Description: lncRNA (ENSACDG00005016589.1)
Source: RNAcentral